This is a long non-coding RNA of Argiope bruennichi, 165 nucleotides long. RefSeq lists it as uncharacterized. Lineage: Eukaryota; Metazoa; Arthropoda; Arachnida; Araneae; Araneidae. The record is from RefSeq and is a predicted model, not a curated record. The transcript is spliced from 3 exons.
AAGAUCAGGAUAUAUUUAUAUAGAUAAGAAAUUGGGCUGCAUGACAUUGUUACUCAAAAAAGAUCAGAAUCUAUUUAUAUAGAUAUGAAAUUGGGCUUCAUGACAUUGUUACUCAAAAAAGAUCAGGAUAUAUUUAUAUAGAUAUGAAAUUGGGCUGCAUGACAU